This 724-nucleotide unclassified non-coding RNA is filed under the name Homo sapiens (human). RNAcentral describes it as "chromosome 2 open reading frame 92 (ENSG00000291598.1)". The record is from RNAcentral. Lineage: Eukaryota; Metazoa; Chordata; Mammalia; Primates; Hominidae.
GCAGAGCCAUGGCCCUCUUCUUUGUUCUCUGCUGGAUCCAAGAGUCGGGGGUCUCCCUAUGUUUCCCAGGCUGGCCUCGAACUCCUGACCUCAAGUGAUCCUCCCACCUCAGCCUCCCCGAGUGCUGGGAUUAAAGACGUGAGCCACGGCACCUGGCCUGAAUUUUCCUCAAAUUCAAAAAAUCCUGAUGAAGGUUUGGCUAAAAUCUUUGGCUAUUCCCAACAGAAGAGCUUGAACAAUGCUGCAUUUGCAUCAGGUUCAAAUGAGCGAGAGGAACAUUUGGCUAAAAUAUUUGAUGAAAUUCUACUGCAGGUGUUUCCAAAGUUUCCGUAUGACCCAUCAUUUAACGAAGCAACAGCAGUCAGAUCCAUUACAAAGACAGACAUGAGAAAAGGAACCAGCAUUGCUUGGAAUUCUCCUAAACCAGAAUAUUUCCUUGGCAGUGUGGACAAAAUUCCUGAUAAAGAUCACCUUUCAGAGGAGAAGAAUUUUAAAGAAUCCUGUCUGUUCGACAGGGAUUUAAGAGAGCAGUUAACUACUAUAGAUAAAGAAACACUUCAAGGAGCAGCUAAACCAGAUCUCCUCUGGCAAACACGACAUAUAAUAUUUUUAUAAUGGAUGGAAAGACAUGGUGGCACAAUUCUGAAGAAAAAAAUUUCACAAAACUUGCAAAAAAACAGAAACAGUUGAAGAGCAGCUCCUGUGUCUAAGCCAGGUCGUGGGG